Molecule: ribosomal RNA, 450 nt
Filed under: uncultured Glomeromycotina
Lineage: Eukaryota; Fungi; Glomeromycota
Description: SSU rRNA
Rfam family: Eukaryotic small subunit ribosomal RNA
Source: RNAcentral
AGCAGCCGCGGUAAUUCCAGCUCCAAUAGCGUAUAUUAAAGUUGUUGCAGUUAAAAAGCUCGUAGUUGAAUUUCGGGGUUCUACCGUCGGUCGGGCUACCAAGUCUGUACUGGUGUGUAGAAUUUCUACCUUCUGGGGAACCAUCGUGUUAUUAAUUUAGCGUGGUGGGAAACCAGGACCUUUACCUUGAAAAAUUAGAGUGUUCAAAGCAGGCUUAUGUCUGAAUACAUUAGCAUGGAAUAAUAGAAUAGGACGGUGGUCCUGUUUUGUUGGUUUCUGAAUCACCGUAAUGAUUAAUAGGGAUAGUUGGGGGCAUUAGUAUUCAAUUGUCAGAGGUGAAAUUCUUAGAUUUAUUGAAGACUAACUUCUGCGAAAGCAUUUGCCAAGGAUGUUUUCAUUAAUCAAGAACGAAAGUUAGGGGAUCGAAGACGAUCAGAUAUCGUCGUAGUC